This 210-nucleotide long non-coding RNA is filed under the name Marmota monax (woodchuck). Lineage: Eukaryota; Metazoa; Chordata; Mammalia; Rodentia; Sciuridae. The record is from RNAcentral.
CAGGGAGGUGGAUGGGGUGGAAUGGGCAGUACUGAAGAAUGAGGCGGCUUCAAUAACACUGGUGGACCCAUGGAUGAAGGACCAGAUCUUGAUAAGGCCCCCCAGUAGAUCCUGAUGAAGACUCUGACAACAGUGCAGUUUAUGUGCAAGGAUUAAAUGACAAUGUGACUCUUGAUGACCUGGCAGACUUCUUUAAGCAAUGUGGGGUUG